Long non-coding RNA from Oncorhynchus tshawytscha (Chinook salmon), 5822 nucleotides. The record is from Ensembl. NCBI's taxonomy places the organism in Eukaryota, Metazoa, Chordata, Actinopteri, Salmoniformes, Salmonidae.
CUUUACCCUAACCCAGCAUGAACAUCUCCCCUGACGGACAAGAUGCUCUUCCUGGGAUGGAGGGCCAGGGCCACUAUGAGGAGGACAACUUUGACUUUGAGACCUCAGGGGCAAACAACAACAUGGAUAAUGGAGGCUCCCAGAACCUCACCAAGCUCACCACGGCCAACAUGGACGACAUGGACAACUAUUACAACUUUGGGAAGGAUACAGCUAACUACAACACGUCUUGAGCAGCAGGAGAAUAGUGUUAAUGGACUACAGACCAUUAGACACCAUGGAUUAAUGGAGAAGAGACCAUGGGUUAAUGGUGGACUAACUGCAGACCAUGGGUUAUUGGUGGACUAACUACAGACCAUGGGUUAUUGGUGGACUAACUACAGACCAUGGGUUAUUGGUGGACUAACUACAGACCAUGGGUUAUUGGUGGACUAACUACAGACCAUGGGUUAUUGGUGGACUAACUACAGACCAUAGGUUAUUGGUGGACUAACUACAGACCAUGGUUUAUUGGUGGACUAACUACAGACCAUGGGUUAUUGGUGGACUAACUACAGACCAUGGGAAAACAGAAAGGAAAAUGCCACACUGCUGCUCAUGCUCCCAGCUGAUAUUUAUUUAUAACGUUUCCACCCUUAGGUCUUCAUCAGGUAUCCAGGACCUAAUGGUGGAAACAUUGUUAUGAAUAGAUAUCUGGGAGCACAAGCAGCAGUGUGGCGUUUUCCUUUCUGUUUUCCAUGAGUUUACCUAGAACUCCAGCACCUGUGGAAAGUACCUGGAUGUGUGUAUGUUCUUCAGCUUUUGUUAAUGGAGAGGAGACCAUGGGUGGGGAACAGACAACAUGGCUGCCGUGCUGUGGCAGUGAGAGAGACUGGGUUAGGGCGUGCUGUGGCAGUGAGAGAGACUGGGUUAGGGCGUGCUGUGGCAGUGAGUCUAGGUUAGGGCGUGCUGUGGCAGUGAGAGAGACUGGGUUAAGGUUAGGGCGUGCUGUGGCAGUGAGACACAGGGAGGGGGUUCAUGGACUCUUUAAGAACCAGAACUGACCUGUCCUGAUGGAGGGGCAGGACAUGCACUUCAACAGCCAAUUCGCUCCACCCGUCUCUGAUAGAAGUGACUCUGAGACUGACGAUUGUGUCUAGAAGUCCUUUGGUAUAUUCUACCAGACAUGAUUGGUCUAACGUCCUUUGGGAUAUUCUACCAGACAUGAUUGGUCUAGAAGUCUUUGGGAUAUUCUACCAGACAUGAUUGGUCUAGAAGUCUUUGGGAUAUUCUACCAGACAUGAUUGGUCUAGAAGUCCUUUGGGAUAAUCGACCAGACAUGAUUGGUCUAGAAGUCUUUGGGAUAUUCUACCAGACAUGAUUGGUCUAGAAGUCCUUUGGGAUAAUCGACCAGACAUGAUUGGUCUAGAAGUCUUUGGGAUAUUCUACCAGACAUGAUUGGUCUAGAAGUCCUUUGGGAUAAUCGACAAGACAUGAUUGGUCUAGAAGUCUUUGGGAUAUUCUACCAGACAUGAUUGGUCUAGAAGUCCUUUGGGAUAAUCUACCAGACAUGAUUGGUCUAGAAGUCUUUGGGAUAUUCUACCAGACAUGAUUGGUCUAGAAGUCUUUGGGAUAUUCUACCAGACAUGAUUGGUCUAGAAGUCUUUGGGAUAUUCUACCAGACAUGAUUGGUCUAAAGUCCUUUGGGAUAUUCUACCAGACAUGAUUGGUCUAAAGUCCUUUGGGAUAUUCUACCAGACAUGAUUGGUCUAGAAGUCUUUGGGAUAUUCUACCAGACAUGAUUGGUCUAGAAGUCUUUGGGAUAUUCUACCAGACAUGAUUGGUCUAGAAGUCUUUGGGAUAUUCUACCAGACAUGAUUGGUCUAGAAGUCCUUUGGGAUAAUCGACCAGACAUGAUUGGUCUAGAAGUCUUUGGGAUAUUCUACCAGACAUGAUUGGUCUAGAAGUCCUUUGGGAUAAUCUACCAGACAUGAUUGGUCUAGAAGUCUUUGGGAUAUUCUACCAGACAUGAUUGGUCUAGAAGUCUUUGGGAUAUUCUACCAGACAUGAUUGGUCUAGAAGUCUUUGGGAUAUUCUACCAGACAUGAUUGGUCUAGAAGUCCUUUGGGAUAAUCGACCAGACAUGAUUGGUCUAGAAGUCUUUGGGAUAUUCUACCAGACAUGAUUGGUCUAGAAAUCCUUGGGAUAUUCUAUCAGACAUAUAGUGACAGAUCUAAACUCUGAUAAGUUGUGGUAUGGAACUGUAUCAGCACUCAGAAAUCAGUUUUACACAGAAACAUCUUACCUGCCAUGGAAUCAUUCACCAAUCAGUAUGUUUUGACAGAAGGCCGUGCCAGAUGCAGUAUAACUCUGAUCUUAGAUCCAAAUAGACACACUGUAUACAGCGCCUUCAGAAAGUCUUCACACCCCUGGACUUUUUACACAUGUUGUGUUACAGCCUGGAUUUAAAAUGGAUUCAAUGUCACUGGCCUACACACAAUAAUACCCCAUAAUGUCAAGGUGAAUUUAUGUUUGUAGAAUUUUUUAUGAGAAGCUGAAAUGUCUUGAGUCAGUAAGUAUUCAACCCCUUUAUUAUGGCCAGCCUAAAUAAGUUCAGGAAUAAAAAUGUGCUUACCAAGUUGCAUGGACUCAGUCUGUGUGCAAUAAUACUGUUUAGCAUGUUUCUUGAAUGACUACCUUAUCUCUGUACCCCACACAUACAGAUAAUUGUAAGGUCCCUCAGUCGAGCAGUGAAUUUCAAACACAGAUACAACCACAAAGACCAGAGAGGUUUUCCAAUGCCUUGCAAAGAAGGGCACCUAUUGGUAGAUGGGUAAAAUAAAAAAGCAGACAUUGAUUAUCUCUUUGAGCAGGGUGAAGUUUUUAAUUACACUUUGGAUAGCAUAUCAAUAUACCAAGUCACUACAAAGAUGCAGGUGUCCUUCCUAACUCAGUUGCAGGAGAGGAAGGAAAUCGCUCAGGGAUUUCACCAUGUGGCCAAUGGUGACUUUAAAACAGUUAGAGUUUAAUGGCUGUGAUAGAAAACUGAGGAUGGAUCAACAACAUUGUAGUUACUCCACAAUACUAACUUGAAUGACAGAGUGAAAAGAAGGACGCCUCUACAGAAUACAAAUAUUCUAAAACAUGCAUCCUUUUGUAAGGCACUAAAGUAAUACUACAAAAAAUAUGUCAAAGAAAUUAACACUUUGUAUUCAGGACAUAAAGUUAUGUUUGGGGCACAUCCAAUACAACACAUCACUGAGUACCACUCUCCAUAUUUUCAAGCAUGGUGGUGACUGCAUCAUGUUAUGGGUGUGCUUUUCAUCAUUAAGGACUGGGGAGGUUUUCAGGAUAAAAAAGAACUGAAUGGAGCUAAGCACAGACAAAAUCCUAGAGGAAGACCUGGUUCAGUCUGCUUUCCAACAGACACUGGGAGAUGAAUUCACCUUUCAGCAGGACAAAAACUUAAAAUACAAGGCCAAAUAUACACGGAACAAAAAUAUAAACGCAACAUGCUACAAUUUCAAAGAUUCUACUGAGUUACAGGUCAUAAGGAAAUCAGUCAAUUGAAAUAAAUUCAUUAGACCCUAAUCUAUGGAUUUCACAUAACUUGAAAUACAGAUAUGCAUCUGUUGGCCACAGAUACCUUAACAAAAAGGUAUGUGCAUGGAUCAGAAAACCAGUCAGUAUCUUUUUUUACCCUUAUUUAACUAGGCAAGUCAGUUAAGGGCAAAUUCUUAUUUUCAAUGACGGCCUAGGAACAGUGGGUUAACUGCCUGUUCAUGGGCAGAACGACAGAUUUGUACCUUGUCAGCUCGGCGAUUUGAACUUGCAACCUUUCGGUAACUAGUCCAACACUCUAACCACUGGGCUACCCUGCCGCCCAUUUGGUGUCACCCCCAUUUGCCUCAAGCACCGCAACACAUCUCCAUCGCAUAGAGUUGAUAAGGCUGUUAAUUGUGACCUGUGGAAUGUUGUGCCACUCCUCUUCAAUGGCUGUGUGCAGUUGCUGGAUAUUGGCAGGAACUGGAACACACUGUCAUACACGUUGAUACAGAGCAUCCCAAACAUGCUCAAUUAAUGACAUGUCUGGUGAGUAUGCAGGCCAUGGAAGAACUGGGACAUUUUCAGCUUCCAGGAAUUGUGUUCAGAUCCAUGUGACAUGGGCCCGUGCAUUAUCAUACUGAAACAUGAGGUGAUGGCGGUGGAUGAAUGGAUGAGUGGACAAUGGGCCUCAGGAUCUCAUCACGGUAUCUCUGCAUUCAAAUUGCCAUCGAUAAAAUGCAGUUGUGUUCAUUAUCCAUAGUUUAUGCCUGCCCAUACCAUAACCCCGCCGCCACCAUGGGGUACUCUGUUCAUCAGCAAACCUCUCGUACACUCGACGCCAUACACACUGUCUGCCAUCUGCCCGGGACAGUUGAAACUGGGAUUAAUCCAUGAAGAGCACACUUUUCCAGCGUGCCAGUGACAAUUGAAGGUGAGCAUUUUCCCACUGAAGAUGGUUAUGACGCCGAACACGCAGAUGAGCUUCCCUGAGACAGUUUUUGACAGUUUGUGCAGAAAUUCUUUGGUUGUGCAAACCCACAGUUUCAUCAGCUGUCCAGCUGGCUGGUCUCAGACAAUCCCGCUGGUGAAGAAGCUGGUUAUGGAGGUCCUGGGCUACAGUGGUUACACGUAGUCUGCGGUUCUGAGGCUGGUUGGACGUACUGCCAAAUUCUCUAAAACUACGUCGAAGGCAGCUUAUGGUAGAAAUUAACAUUAAAUUAUCAGGCAACAGCUCUGGCGGACAUUCUUGCCGUCAGCAUGCCAAUCGCACGCUCCCUUAAAACUUGAGACUUCUUGGCAUUGUGCUGUGUGACAAAACUGCACAUUUGUGUGGCCUUUUAUUGUCCCCAGCACAAGGGGUACCUGUGUAAUGGUCAUGCUGUUUAAUCAGCUUCUUGAUUUGCCACACCUGUCAGGUGGAUGGAUUAUCUUGGCAAAGGAUAAAUGCUCACUAAUGGAUGUCAACAAAUUAGUGCACAACAUUUGAGUGAAAUAAGCUUUUUGUGUGUAUGAAACAUUUCUGGGAUCUUUUAUUUCAGCUCAUUAAACAUGGGUUCAACACUUAUCUAUUUUUGUUCAGUAUACAUUUGAGUGCUUACCAAGAUGACAUUGAAUGUUCCGGUGUGGCCUAGUUACAGUUUUUACUUAAAACUACUUGAAAAUCUAUGGCAAGACCUUAAAAUGGCAGUCUAGCAAUGAUCAACAACCAACUUGACAGAGCUUGAAGAAUUAAAAAGCUCUUAGAGAUUUACCCAGAAAGACACAGGUGUAAUCGUUGCCAAAGGUGAUUCUAACAUGUAUUGACUCAGGGGGUUGAAUACUUAUCUAAUCACAAUAUAUUAGUAUUUUGUGUAGAUCAUUGACAAAAAAAUGACAAUUAAAUCCAUUUGAAUCCCACUUUGUAAAACAACCAAAUCUGGAAAGAGUCGAGAGGUACUUUCUAUUAGACAUUGAUACAUAUAACAGGUUUGAAUGAUCUUCACAACAUGCCUGAUCUGCAGCAUGGAGGAGCACAGGAACAGUCUUCUAUGAGCUGAUCUGGAGUAAGGUCUAUACUUCCCAAAGUGACUGCUGUCUGCUGUUUCUGCUGGCUAAUACUACAACAUGUUGCUGAUGUGUAACCACUUACAGUACUGUCUCCUUACUCUACAAACAAACCUUUUUCCCCCACCUUGUUUCACUUGGUUUAGCUUGACAUUCAGACCAGAUCUGGACCGGGCUACCUGAGACGGUACGACCAGAUCUGGACCGGGCUACCUGAGACGGUACGACCAGAUCUGGACCGGGCUACCUGAGAC